GAAACGACUGCUAAGACUGGAUAGGAGAUAAGAAGGCAUCUUUUUAUUUUUAAAAGACCUAGCAAUAGGUAUGCUUAGGGAAGAGCUUGCGUCACAUUAGUUAGUUGGUGGGGUAAUGGCCUACCAAGACGAUGAUGUGUAGCCGGGCUGAGAGGUCGAACGGCCACAUUGGGACUGAGACACGGCCCAAACUCCUACGGGAGGCAGCAGUAAGGAAUUUUCGGCAAUGGAGGAAACUCUGACCGAGCAAUGCCGCGUGAACGAUGAAGUAUUUUGGUACGUAAAGUUCUUUUAUUAGGGAAGAAAAGAUGGUGGAAAAACCAUUAUGACGGUACCUAAUGAAUAAGCCCCGGCUAACUAUGUGCCAGCAGCCGCGGUAAUACAUAGGGGGCAAGCGUUAUCCGGAAUUAUUGGGCGUAAAGGGUGCGUAGGCGGUUAAAUAAGUUUAUGGUCUAAGUGCAACGCUCAACGUUGUGAUGCUAUAAAAACUGUUUAGCUAGAGUUGGAUAGAGGCAAGUGGAAUUCCGUGUGUAGUGGUAAAAUGCGUAAAUAUACGGAGGAACACCAGAAGCGAAGGCGGCUUGCUGGGUCUUAACUGACGCUGAGGCACGAAAGCGUGGGGAGCAAACAGGAUUAGAUACCCUGGUAGUCCACGCCCUAAACGAUGAGUACUAAACGUUGGAUAAAACCAGUGUUGAAGUUAACACAUUAAGUACUCCGCCUGAGUAGUACGUACGCAAGUAUGAAACUUAAAGGAAUUGACGGGACUCCGCACAAGCGGUGGAUCAUGUUGUUUAAUUCGAAGGUACCCGAAAAACCUCACCAGGUCUUGACAUGCUUUUGCAAAGCUGUAGAAAUACAGUGGAGGUUAUCAGAAGCACAGGUGGUGCAUGGUUGUCGUCAGCUCGUGUCGUGAGAUGUUGGGUUAAGUCCCGCAACGAGCGCAACCCUUGUUGUUAAUUGCCAUCAUUAAGUUGGGGACUUUAGCAAGACUGCCAAUGAUAAAUUGGAGGAAGGUGGGGACGACGUCAAAUCAUCAUGCCCCUUAUGACCUGGGCUACAAACGUGAUACAAUGGCUGUUACAAAGGGUAGCUAAAGCGUAAGCUUCUGGCGAAUCUCAAAAAAGCAGUCUCAGUUCGGAUUGAAGUCUGCAACUCGACUUCAUGAAGUUGGAAUCGCUAGUAAUCGCGAAUCAGCAUGUCGCGGUGAAUACGUUCUCGGGGUUUGUACACACCGCCCGUCA
Molecule: ribosomal RNA, 1244 nt
Filed under: Paper flower yellows phytoplasma
Lineage: Bacteria; Bacillati; Mycoplasmatota; Mollicutes; Acholeplasmatales; Acholeplasmataceae
Description: bacterial SSU rRNA
Rfam family: Bacterial small subunit ribosomal RNA
Source: RNAcentral